This is a long non-coding RNA of Numida meleagris (helmeted guineafowl), 614 nucleotides long. RefSeq lists it as uncharacterized. Lineage: Eukaryota; Metazoa; Chordata; Aves; Galliformes; Numididae. The record is from RefSeq and is a predicted model, not a curated record. The transcript has 3 exons.
UCCCCAUGACUCUCAAAAUAUGUUUCAUAACAAUGAUAACCAGGAGCUCACACAUACUGAGGGUGUUGACAAGCAAUUAGGAGCCUGGAUCCCUCUGGUUCCAGGGCUGGGCAGCGUGUCAGGGCAUCACCGUUCAAAGCAGGCCCUAUAAAAGCUCCCACUCUGCAUGCCUAGUGGUGGAAGGGGAGAGAGGAAGCUCUCCCAUUGUACCUCUCUGUAUUCACUCACUUCUUCUUUCCAGUCGCAAUCACUGCAGCACCCACCACACCCGCUGCCACCACCCAAACCAACCAAGUCACCAGCAAAGACAUCUCCUGCCACAGCCCGCAUCCAGCAGAACCUACCACACGCACUGACACCACCCAGAGCAGCCAUGUCACCAAGAAGGACAACUCGCGAUGGGGCACGGAUGCAGGAACAAGCAACGAGAACCCAAUGAAUUCAUGCUGUAAAUUCAUCCUGUGGGUUAACCUGCCGUGUGCCUGCCUCCUGCUCCUCACUGCCAUAACCAUCACCAUCUGCCAAAGUAAGUCGCACCCUCACACCCUGCAGAGCUUCCUGCAGCCUCACACCAAAGAGCACAGCCCGCUCCUCCAGGGGAAUGGGCUCUCUGC